GGGUCCUGCUUCCUCUUCCCUCUGUUUCUUCCACCUGCCUUGCUGCUGGUGAGGAUCCUUGAGAAGGAAACAAAGCUCUUUCUUCCCUCUCUGGGAGGAAAGAAGAUGAAGUGAGUUGCCCUCAGCCACCCAGAGUGUGCCUGGCUGUGGCUGUGGACGGCAGAGGCAGGUGGAAGGCCUCUGAGGGUAAGGGGAGGGAAAGGAGGGAACAGGGUGCUUGAGGAAGAAAGGUGGGUGUCUGGGCUUCCUGGGAUCCAGCGGGUCCUGCUGCCUCUCCCAAAGUGGACACACAGCUCACCUGAUGUUGAAGCACUUUCCUGGCAUUGGGAGCUGCUGGUUCAUCCUGAGGAGUCUGGGGACUGGGCCUAGUUUUACAGAUGGAGAAGCUGAGACCUAGCUCUAUUGAAGCUUCCUUGGGUCCUACAACACCUGUGAGGACACUGCUAUCAACCUCAUGGUGCUCUGAAGGGGCCAGGGCUACCAUAAGAUCAGGGACAAGGCCACAUUGGAUGGGAAUUUCCUGUGUUCUGUGACAGCUGCUGUGGAAACCUGGCCAGAUGUCCCCACGAAAAAAUCCUAUUUCCUGUGCUCCUUGCCCUCCUGACCAUCACAGCUGGAUUCCUAGCCAUUACUGCAACCUCUGGCUGCAGAGCAAACACACUGUUCCAUGGAGGUCAGUGCUAGCAGGGC
RNAcentral lists this long non-coding RNA (690 nucleotides) under Callithrix jacchus (white-tufted-ear marmoset). RNAcentral's name for it is "lncRNA (ENSCJAG00000078811.1)". The record is from RNAcentral. Lineage: Eukaryota; Metazoa; Chordata; Mammalia; Primates; Cebidae.